Molecule: long non-coding RNA, 925 nt
Organism: Trichoplusia ni (cabbage looper)
Lineage: Eukaryota; Metazoa; Arthropoda; Insecta; Lepidoptera; Noctuidae
Exons: 3
Source: RefSeq, a predicted model, not a curated record
GACGCGCAGCUGGAGUCAGUGUGCCGCCCGCCGUCCGCCGCGCAUGACGCACUGCUGAGCGCCGCCGCCCGGACCUCGUCAGAGGUAUCUGGUGUAGGAGCAGCAUCACCUUGCUCUGAAGGCAGCUGACGCAGCAGCGAGUCUCGCGGCAGAGUCAUAACAUCUCGGGGAUGGGUUCCACCUCACCCCCCCCCCCCGGACCUGCACUCCCAGCAGCAGCAGCAGCGCACUCAACACUAGACUGUCACUCACUACUCGCCUCAUCUGAUGCGCGCCAGUAGUGCGUGAGAGAUGACGGAGACCUCGUGCUCUGUGAUUAGGUAGCUCGGGCAGGCGCGGAUCCCGGAGGGGGGGGGCGGGGACAGACCCCAUGGAGUCUCACUCUAUGUGUUCUGCUCUCGACCUCCUCCUGGAGACGGAUGCGCGCCUGACUGACAACAUGUAAGAUAGGGUUAAGCUAGCGAGUAAUUCUUAUAGAGUUUAAAUAGACACCAAGUAUGUGAGCAAUUUUUAUUCUGCUUUUAAGCCUAGGAUAGCUGCCCUGUGGCCUGGGCCAGCAGGCCAAGGCCACAGGGCCUCGGGGGUAGCAGCGACGUGGCCUCACACGUUGCUCCUAUUCCUCUUAGUUUCUAAGACUUCAAUCCCUAAAAUUAAAAAAAACUAAUUAUACCAACAAAACACGCACAAAUGAGUUUUAUUCACGACCUCCCCGACCCUCUAUCCCUACGUCAUGUGGUUCACAGAUCUGUGCGAGAACUGCACUUAGCUGAGUGACGUUUAGUUAUGUCUUUCUGUCUCUACUUUCCUCUUGUCAAUGAUAAAGACAGCUUGACAGCUUAUGGCGAUAUUUUGCUAUGCGUUUGCUGAGCGUACUUAAAUGCGGCAUUAAGUUAACAUGUCUUGUCAGAAGUAAUACCUUGGGCCC